UUUAACCGCUUCUAGGGUUCCGAUUUGAAUCAGUUUCUAACUCAGGUUAGACAGUUCAAGUGCUGGUCCGAGAGAAGCAGACUGGUUCUCCCAAGAUUUUAAAUUUAGGGAAACACUAGCCAGUUACACGGCGGGAUAAAAGCCCGGGAGAA
This 152-nucleotide small RNA is filed under the name Phormidium nigroviride PCC 7112. RNAcentral describes it as "Oscillatoria sp. PCC 7112 Guanidine-I riboswitch aptamer". It matches the Rfam family "Guanidine-I riboswitch aptamer". From Rfam's summary of the family: This family represents a conserved RNA structure found upstream of the ykkC and yxkD genes in Bacillus subtilis and related genes in other bacteria. Lineage: Bacteria; Bacillati; Cyanobacteriota; Cyanophyceae; Oscillatoriales; Oscillatoriaceae. The record is from Rfam by way of RNAcentral. RNAcentral also lists the same sequence under 1 other name.